CCUACGGGUGGCAGCAGUCGAGAAUCAUUCACAAUGGGGGAAACCCUGAUGGUGCGACGCCGCGUGGGGGAAUGAAGGUCUUCGGAUUGUAAACCCCUGUCAUGUGGGAGCAAAUUAAAAAGAUAGUACCACGAGAGGAAGAGACGGCUAACUCUGUGCCAGCAGCCGCGGUAAUACAGAGGUCUCAAGCGUUGUUCGGAAUCACUGGGCGUAAAGCGUGCGUAGGCUGUUUCGUAAGUCGUGUGUGAAAGGCGCGGGCUCAACCCGCGGACGGCACAUGAUACUGCGAGACUAGAGUAAGGGAGGGGGAACCGGAAGUCUCGGUGUAGCAGUGAAAUGCGUAGAUAUCGAGAGGAACACUCGUGGCGAAGGCGGGUUCCUGGACAUUAACUGACGCUGAGGCACGAAGGCCAGGGGAGCGAAAGGGAUUAGAUACCCCUGUAGUC
Molecule: ribosomal RNA, 446 nt
Filed under: uncultured bacterium
Lineage: Bacteria
Description: partial 16S ribosomal RNA
Rfam family: Bacterial small subunit ribosomal RNA
Source: RNAcentral